CCAGUCGGGAGUGUUUUACGCAAGAAAAUGUUAGCUGCUAAAUUAAAUGCAAAGAUACGCUUCCCACAUGGCGAAUAGUUUUAAGUUAAACAGAAGACGAUCACGGUGUAUCUAUGCGGGAUCACGAAAGGUACCUCGAAGUACCGCUCGAAAUCUUCGACCGGCGAAUGAAUGGGACAAGCUGAGGCUCCCGGUUUUUCGUGGUUAGCCGGAUCCUCAAAAUCAUGCAACUCCAAGAUCUACGCAUAACUUAACAUCUGCAGCGAACCUUGAAGAAACCUUUGAAAAGGGGCUUGAUUCAUGUUGUAGAUGAAUUGUACAAAAUAAUUUGGAAUGCAUCCCUCGAAAACGAAAGAAUGCAUGCACAUCUCCAGAUUCAACUCCAUCUAACUUCACCGGCAUACGAAGGCUUAGAAACCCAUUUUCCAACCAUGUCGUCGCGGAUGCUUGGCAGUAAAAACAACCUUUCCCAUGGUUAGUGGUACAACCUCCGCAAAGGAAAAUAUCCGAUCCGAAUGGAUGCUACGGGACGGGGGGAUGUGGUGAAGAAUCGGUCGGGCACAUCUACAAACUCGGACAGCAACGGAAAGAUUCCUUUCUUUACACAGUAAAAGACCCACAUAGAGAGCAUUCUGAAUGCAUCCCCCGUAAACUGAAGAAUGCAUGCAUCUCCAGAAUUGACAUCCUUAAGGAUCAGCAAAGAUCAUGCAAAACUACGGCUCGUUAGCAGAUGUUAUCUCUGUCUUAUGUACUGCAGGUGCAUUGAUACCCGACCAGACUCAACAAUGAUGGAAAUGAAUUAAACUUCCGCUGUUGAAAAUUCAAAUACUUAGAAUCU
Molecule: long non-coding RNA, 838 nt
Organism: Anopheles coustani
Lineage: Eukaryota; Metazoa; Arthropoda; Insecta; Diptera; Culicidae
Exons: 5
Source: RefSeq, a predicted model, not a curated record